This 465-nucleotide ribosomal RNA is filed under the name Vreelandella stevensii. RNAcentral describes it as "partial 16S ribosomal RNA". It matches the Rfam family "Bacterial small subunit ribosomal RNA", at positions 338 to 795 of the family's 1533-position model. The record is from RNAcentral. Lineage: Bacteria; Pseudomonadati; Pseudomonadota; Gammaproteobacteria; Oceanospirillales; Halomonadaceae.
CCUACGGGAGGCUGCAGUGGGGAAUAUUGGACAAUGGGGGCAACCCUGAUCCAGCCAUGCCGCGUGUGUGAAGAAGGCCCUCGGGUUGUAAAGCACUUUCAGUGAGGAAGAACGCCUGGUGGUUAAUACCCAUCAGGAAAGACAUCACUCACAGAAGAAGCACCGGCUAACUCCGUGCCAGCAGCCGCGGUAAUACGGAGGGUGCGAGCGUUAAUCGGAAUUACUGGGCGUAAAGCGCGCGUAGGUGGCUUGAUAAGCCGGUUGUGAAAGCCCCGGGCUCAACCUGGGAACGGCAUCCGGAACUGUCAAGCUAGAGUGCAGGAGAGGAAGGUAGAAUUCCAGGUGUAGCGGUGAAAUGCGUAGAGAUAGGGAGGAAUACCAGUGGCGAAGGCGGCCUUCUGGACUGAAACUGACACUGAGGUGCGAAAGCGUGGGUAGCAAACAGGAUUAGAUACCCGAGUAGUC